This 1452-nucleotide ribosomal RNA is filed under the name uncultured organism. Its description in RNAcentral is "16S ribosomal RNA". It matches the Rfam family "Bacterial small subunit ribosomal RNA". The record is from RNAcentral.
GACGAACGCUGGCGGCGUGCUUAACACAUGCAAGUCGAACGGAAAGGCCCUGCUUUUGUGGGGUGCUCGAGUGGCGAACGGGUGAGUAACACGUGAGUAACCUGCCCUUGACUUUGGGAUAACUUCAGGAAACUGGGGCUAAUACCGGAUAGGAGCUCCUGCUGCAUGGUGGGGGUUGGAAAGUUUCGGCGGUUGGGGAUGGACUCGCGGCUUAUCAGCUUGUUGGUGGGGUAGUGGCUUACCAAGGCUUUGACGGGUAGCCGGCCUGAGAGGGUGACCGGCCACAUUGGGACUGAGAUACGGCCCAGACUCCUACGGGAGGCAGCAGUGGGGAAUAUUGCACAAUGGGCGGAAGCCUGAUGCAGCAACGCCGCGUGCGGGAUGACGGCCUUCGGGUUGUAAACCGCUUUCGCCUGUGACGAAGCGUGAGUGACGGUAAUGGGUAAAGAAGCACCGGCUAACUACGUGCCAGCAGCCGCGGUGAUACGUAGGGUGCGAGCGUUGUCCGGAUUUAUUGGGCGUAAAGGGCUCGUAGGUGGUUGAUCGCGUCGGAAGUGUAAUCUUGGGGCUUAACCCUGAGCGUGCUUUCGAUACGGGUUGACUUGAGGAAGGUAGGGGAGAAUGGAAUUCCUGGUGGAGCGGUGGAAUGCGCAGAUAUCAGGAGGAACACCAGUGGCGAAGGCGGUUCUCUGGGCCUUUCCUGACGCUUGAGGAGCGAAAGCGUGGGGAGCGAACAGGCUUAGAUACCCUGGUAGUCCACGCUGUAAACGGUGGGUACUAGGUGUGGGGUCCAUUCCACGGGUUCCGUGCCGUAGCUAACGCUUUAAGUACCCCGCCUGGGGAGUACGGCCGCAAGGCUAAAACUCAAAGGAAUUGACGGGGCCCCGCACAAGCGGCGGAGCAUGCGGAUUAAUUCGAUGCAACGCGUAGAACCUUACCUGGGUUUGACAUGGAUCGGGAGUGCUCAGAGAUGGGUGUGCCUCUUUUGGGGUCGGUUCACAGGUGGUGCAUGCCUGUCGUCAGCUCGUGUCGUGAGAUGUUGGGUUAAGUCCCGCAACGAGCGCAACCCUUGUUCGCUGUUGCCAGCACGUUAUGGUGGGGACUCAGUGGAGACCGCCGGGGUCAACUCGGAGGAAGGUGGGGAUGACGUCAAGUCCUCAUGCCCCUUAUGUCCAGGGCUUCACGCAUGCUACAAUGGCUGGUACAGAGAGUGGCGAGCCUGUGAGGGUGAGCGAAUCUCGGAAAGCCGGUCUCAGUUCGGAUUGGGGUCUGCAACUCGACCUCAUGAAGUCGGAGUCGCUAGUAAUCGCAGAUCAGCAACGCUGCGGUGAAUACGUUCCCGGGGCUUGUACACACCGCCCGUCAAGUCAUGAAAGUUGGUAACACCCGAAGCCGGUGGCCUAACCGUUGUGGGGGAGCCGUCGAAGGUGGGACUGGUGAUUAGGACUAAGU